CGGGGUGGGUGAACUUGAGGGAGACGGUGGUGUUGACGCCGGCGGGGACGGCGGCGCCGCUGACGGCGAACGCCCCUCCCACGGCGGCGCCCGAGGUGGCGAGCAGGGCGGGGCAGUUGACGAAGAGGUGGUACCCGCCGGAGACCCAGCUCCCGACCUUCCACUUGACGCGGCCUUCCAGCUUGACGUGGAGGAGCACGUACCCGGCCGAGAUGUCCUGCCUCAUGGCGUCCGCCACGUACUGCGACACGGGGACGGCGUCCCCGGACAUGACGGGGGACCACACCGACGCGUCCUUGUGGCCCUGGUAGAUCGACGGCAGCGACACGGGCACCGUCACCGGCUCGUCCCGGUACGUCGUGAACGCGUCCAGGGUCUUGUAGUACACGCCCACGCGCUCGUUCGGGUUCCGCGACGCGAUCGUCACCUGCGGCCAUUGCCAACAACAGCAAGGUUUUUCGUCGGCAUCGUCCAUGUAGCUAGCUGCAGAGCUCAACGUUCCCCGAAUGUGCGAGUAUGCAUACACGUUACCUGGAGGUUGAGGGAGAUGGCCGGGUCGCUGAGGUCGAUGGAGCGGAGCUGCACGUCCUGGAGGUAGAAGGAGGGCUUGGAAGGGUGGAGCGCGAGGUAGAUGACGAGGACGAUGAAGCCGACGACGGCGGCGAGCGUGAGGAAGCAGGCGCAGAUGGAGCCGCAGCAGCGACGGAGGAUCCAGUCGCGGUG
Molecule: long non-coding RNA, 723 nt
Filed under: Setaria italica (foxtail millet)
Lineage: Eukaryota; Viridiplantae; Streptophyta; Magnoliopsida; Poales; Poaceae
Description: long non-coding RNA (SITA_LNC005235)
Source: RNAcentral